AUGCAAGUCGAACGGGCCGGGGGCAACUCCGGUCAGUGGCGAACGGGUGAGUAAUACAUCGGAACGUACCUCGUAGUGGGGGAUAACUCGGCGAAAGCCGUGCUAAUACCGCAUAUGCUCUACGGAGGAAAGCAGGGGACCGCAAGGCCUUGUGCUAUGGGAGCGGCCGAUGUCCGAUUAGCUAGUUGGUGGGGUAAUGGCCCACCAAGGCGACGAUCGGUAGCUGGUCUGAGAGGAUGAUCAGCCACACUGGGACUGAGACACGGCCCAGACUCCUACGGGAGGCAGCAGUGGGGAAUUUUGGACAAUGGGGGCAACCCUGAUCCAGCCAUGCCGCGUGCGGGAAGAAGGCCUUCGGGUUGUAAACCGCUUUUGGUCGGGAAGAAAAGGCGUCGGUUAAUACCUGGCGUUCUUGACGGUACCGGCAGAAUAAGCACCGGCUAACUACGUGCCAGCAGCCGCGGUAAUACGUAGGGUGCGAGCGUUAAUCGGAAUUACUGGGCGUAAAGCGUGCGCAGGCGGUUCGUUAUGUCCGAUGUGAAAGCCCCGAGCUUAACUUGGGAAUGGCAUUGGAAACUGGCGGGCUGGAGUGCGGCAGAGGGGGGUGGAAUUCCACGUGUAGCAGUGAAAUGCGUAGAGAUGUGGAGGA
This 649-nucleotide ribosomal RNA is filed under the name uncultured soil bacterium. RNAcentral describes it as "bacterial SSU rRNA". It matches the Rfam family "Bacterial small subunit ribosomal RNA", at positions 55 to 705 of the family's 1533-position model. The record is from RNAcentral.